UACCUUUCCAAAUGCCUCAAAAAUGCUUAUAUUCACCGUGCCGGCUUGUUCGGCUAUGACGCUAAACGCUUUACGGAAUAGACGUAGCGGACCCGGGGGCGGUACCCGGCGCCUCCACCACAAGUGCAUCAGGGUUCGAAUCAGAGCCCGGACGCGAGAACAGGUGCAUUUUUGAUGGGGGCGAAAUAGGAUCGACGCGCGUGAUAAAGGUAAAGUUUGCGUUCGGCAUGGCUCCGCCGUUAUCGGGCUUUUUCUACAAGUGCCAAUGAUAAUGAAAUGGUACUCGCUGCUUAAUUGAAAGCAAGCGCGGUUCGGGGGGCACCGGGCAACAGAAGCCCCCCACU
RNAcentral lists this transfer-messenger RNA (344 nucleotides) under Alphaproteobacteria bacterium. It matches the Rfam family "Alphaproteobacteria transfer-messenger RNA". From Rfam's summary of the family: Bacterial tmRNA, also known as 10Sa RNA or SsrA, is named for its dual tRNA and mRNA-like properties. Its role is to liberate the mRNA from a stalled ribosome. The record is from RNAcentral. Lineage: Bacteria; Pseudomonadati; Pseudomonadota; Alphaproteobacteria.